GUAGUUCCCAGGCCGGUGUUCCCGUAUGGUCUCACUCUGUCAUGCAUGAUGGACUGCAGUGGUGCAAUCAUGGCUCACUGUAGCUUCGACCACCCUGGCUCCGGUCAUCAUCCUACCUCAGCCUCCCAGUGGUGUCAGUCAUCAACCUUGUGAUCACUGAGGAAAAGAUACAAUAAUCCUUGCCUAUCCGAACUGGGAUCCUAAAAAUUAUGGAACGAAUUGUAGAAACUCAAGCAACUUUCUCCAAAGCCUAGGGUUCAGCAAGAGUAAGCAAGAGGCACUGAGCCGCUGGAGUCUGCACAUUGAUAAAUUUACUUACAGUCGUAAAUAAAUUGCAUCAUCUUCAGCUAGUAA
Molecule: long non-coding RNA, 354 nt
Organism: Homo sapiens (human)
Lineage: Eukaryota; Metazoa; Chordata; Mammalia; Primates; Hominidae
Gene: BCORP1
Product: BCL6 corepressor pseudogene 1
Source: Ensembl